Molecule: ribosomal RNA, 440 nt
Filed under: uncultured bacterium
Lineage: Bacteria
Description: partial 16S ribosomal RNA
Rfam family: Bacterial small subunit ribosomal RNA
Source: RNAcentral
ACUACGGGAGGCAGCCGUGGGGGAUAUUGCACAAGGGGGGAAACCCUGAUGCAGCGACGCCGCGUGGGUGAAGAAGCGCCUCGGCGCGUAAAGCCCUGUCAGCAGGGAAGAAAAUGACGGUACCUGAAGAAGAAGCCCCGGCUAACUACGUGCCAGCAGCCGCGGUAAUACGUGGGGGGCAAGCGUUAUCCGGAUUUACUGGGUGUAAAGGGGUCGCAGACGGCGGUGCAAGCCAGGAGUGAACGCCACGGGCCCAACCCCGGGACUGCCCUUGGAACUGCGUGGCUAGAGUGCAGGAGGGGCAGGCGGAAUUCCUGGUGUAGCGGUGAAAUGCGUAGAUAUCAGGAGGAACACCGGUGGCGAAGGCGGCCUGCUGGACUGCAACUGACGUUGAGGCCCGAAAGCGUGGGGAGCAAACAGGAUUAGAUACCCCGGUAGUC